GGGAUUGUGACUCAGCGAUAGAGCACUCGCCUUGCAUGUGCGACGCCCUGGGUUCGAUCCUCAGCCCCA
Molecule: transfer RNA, 69 nt
Filed under: Marmota monax (woodchuck)
Lineage: Eukaryota; Metazoa; Chordata; Mammalia; Rodentia; Sciuridae
Description: tRNA.Ala
Source: RNAcentral